This 319-nucleotide ribosomal RNA is filed under the name uncultured eukaryote. RNAcentral describes it as "partial 18S ribosomal RNA". It matches the Rfam family "Eukaryotic small subunit ribosomal RNA", at positions 1470 to 1796 of the family's 1831-position model. The record is from RNAcentral.
CCCUUAGAUGGUCUGGGCGGCACGCGCGCUACAAUGAUGCAUUGAAAAAGUCUUCUGACCUUAGAAGGUUGGGUAUUCUCCAAAGUGCAUCGUGAUGGGAAUAGUUUAUUGCAAUUUUUAAUCUUGAACGAGGAAUUCCUAUUAAGUACAGGUCAUCAACUUGUGUUGAUUACGUCCCUGCCCUUUGUACACACCGCCCGUCGCUCCUACUGAUUGAGUGUCUCGGUGAAUUCUUUGAUCUUCUGUCGAUUCAGUUCACUGAUCCGACGGUGGAAAGUUGAAUGAACUUCGUCACUUAGAGGAAGGAGAAGUCGGAACA